GUCUAUGGCCAUGUCAUCCUGAACAAACUCGAUGUCUGAUUUCAGAAGCUGAGCAGGGUCGGGAUUAAUUAGUACUUGGAUGGGAGACCACCUAGAAGAAUCAGGUGCUGUAGGCA
This 116-nucleotide ribosomal RNA is filed under the name Pteropus alecto (black flying fox). The record is from RNAcentral. Lineage: Eukaryota; Metazoa; Chordata; Mammalia; Chiroptera; Pteropodidae. RNAcentral also lists the same sequence under 1 other name.